This 550-nucleotide ribosomal RNA is filed under the name uncultured bacterium. RNAcentral's name for it is "bacterial SSU rRNA". It matches the Rfam family "Bacterial small subunit ribosomal RNA", at positions 355 to 896 of the family's 1533-position model. The record is from RNAcentral.
UAGGGAAUCUUCGGCAAUGGACGGAAGUCUGACCGAGCAACGCCGCGUGGGUGAAGAAGGUUUUCGGAUCGUAAAGCUCUGUUGUAAGAGAAGAACGAGUGUGAGAGUGGAAAGUUCACACUGUGACGGUAUCUUACCAGAAAGGGACGGCUAACUACGUGCCAGCAGCCGCGGUAAUACGUAGGUCCCGAGCGUUGUCCGGAUUUAUUGGGCGUAAAGCGAGCGCAGGCGGCUAGAUAAGUCUGAAGUUAAAGGCUGUGGCUUAACCAUAGUAGGCUUUGGAAACUGUUUAACUUGAGUGCAAGAGGGGAGAGUGGAAUUCCAUGUGUAGCGGUGAAAUGCGUAGAUAUAUGGAGGAACACCGGUGGCGAAAGCGGCUCUCUGGCUUGUAACUGACGCUGAGGCUCGAAAGCGUGGGGAGCAAACAGGAUUAGAUACCCUGGUAGUCCACGCUGUAAACGAUGAGUGCUAGGUGUUAGACCCUUUCCGGGGUUUAGUGCCGUAGCUAACGCAUUAAGCACUCCGCCUGGGGAGUACGACUGCAAGGUUG